GAGGUGCAGCUGGUGGAGUCUGGGGGAGGCUUGGUACAGCCUGGGGGGUCCCUGAGACUCUCCUGUGCAGCCUCUGGAUUCACCUUUAGCAGCUAUGCCAUGAGCUGGGUCCGCCAGGCUCCAGGGAAGGGGCUGGAGUGGGUCUCAGCUAUUAGUGGUAGUGGUGGUAGCACAUACUACGCAGACUCCGUGAAGGGCCGGUUCACCAUCUCCAGAGACAAUUCCAAGAACACGCUGUAUCUGCAAAUGAACAGCCUGAGAGCCGAGGACACGGCCGUAUAUUACUGUGCGAAAGACACGGACUGUGUCCCUGUGUGAUGCUUUUGAUAUCUGGGGCCAAGGGACAAUGGUCACCGUCUCUUC
This 363-nucleotide long non-coding RNA is filed under the name Homo sapiens (human). Its description in RNAcentral is "non-protein coding lnc-BRF1-31:11". Lineage: Eukaryota; Metazoa; Chordata; Mammalia; Primates; Hominidae. The record is from RNAcentral.